This 561-nucleotide ribosomal RNA is filed under the name uncultured bacterium. RNAcentral's name for it is "bacterial SSU rRNA". It matches the Rfam family "Bacterial small subunit ribosomal RNA", at positions 8 to 526 of the family's 1533-position model. The record is from RNAcentral.
AGAGUUUGAUCCUGGUUCAGGAUAAACGCUGGCGGCGUGCCUAACACAUGCAAGUCGAACGAGAAGCUCGUCUCUGAUUCCUUCGGGAUGAUGAGAUAAGCAGAAAGUGGCGAACGGGUGAGUAACGCGUGGGUAAUCUACCCUGUAAGCGGGGGAUAACCCUCCGAAAGGAGGGCUAAUACCGCAUAAUAUCUUCAUCCCAAAAGAGAAGAAGAUGAAAGAUGGCCUCUGUCUUAAGCUAUCACUUCAGGAUGAGCCUGCGUCCUAUUAGUUAGUUGGUGGGGUAAUGGCCUACCAAGACGACAAUGGGUAGCCGGUCUGAGAGGAUGUACGGCCACACUGGGACUGAGAUACGGCCCAGACUCCUACGGGAGGCAGCAGUGGGGAAUAUUGCGCGAUGGGGGAAACCCUGACGCAGCGACGCCGCGUGGAUGAUGAAGGCCUUUGGGUUGUAAAAUCCUGUUUUGGGGGAAGAAUCCUUAAGGGUCCAAUAAACCCUUAAACUGACGGUACCCCAAGAGAAAGCUCCGGCUAAUUAUGUGCCAGCAGCCGCGGUAAUAC